This 675-nucleotide long non-coding RNA is filed under the name Homo sapiens (human). Its description in RNAcentral is "HSALNT0182875". Lineage: Eukaryota; Metazoa; Chordata; Mammalia; Primates; Hominidae. The record is from RNAcentral.
UAACGGCGACAUAGCUGGCUUUUUGGAGAGGCCGCCUAACGGUCUGCCACUUCAUUGGAAUCAGCCUCCGCCCUUCUCAACUGGCUGCUGCGGGGCCAGUGGUGCCGGGAGACGAGGGCGGGCGCUCAGGGACGGUUCGAACAGUCUGGGCCUAGUCAAUGUAAAGACAAUGAGGAUGAAGACCUUUAUGAAGAUGACUUCCACUUACAUGGCACCAGCUGGAUGAAGCCUUUGACAUCUACCCUAGCUAACAAUUAGUGUCUUAGACUAAUGGAGAGUCUAGCACUUAGUAUGUGAUCAAUGAUGGUUCCUUGAAUAACAAAGUUGGUAAAUUAAUAAGUGGAAAUUAUAGGGACAGAGACUUCAGCUCAACUUUGGGGAGAUUUUUAUAAUAACUUGAACAAAAGAUACAAUGGAGGCCUUUGGGUGAAGAUGACAACAAAUUUCUUGUUGAGAACAAUGCUAGUCAGAAGACAGAAAAGCAACAUCUUCAAAGUAUUGAAAAAAAAAAGUGACCUGUAAGCCUAGAAUUCUUUACCCAGAGAAAAUAUCUUUAAAAAAAUGAAAAGCAUAAUUAAUACAAAGGCAGGCCGUGAACAAAAGAUAGAAGUUUUAAUACAGAAAAUUUCAAACAUACGAAGAAGUGAAGAGAUAUGAUGAACCACAAUAUACCCA